Long non-coding RNA from Athene cunicularia (burrowing owl), 616 nucleotides. RefSeq lists it as uncharacterized. NCBI's taxonomy places the organism in Eukaryota, Metazoa, Chordata, Aves, Strigiformes, Strigidae. The transcript has 3 exons. The record is from RefSeq and is a predicted model, not a curated record.
AAAGGACAGGGCUGGAUGAUCAUGGUGAGUGGAAGGGCCUUUGUGUGGCACUUCUCCAUGACAACAUUCCAAAAUCUUAACUUUGAGCAUCAAAUAGUACAAAUAGCCAAGUGCCUCCAAACAGCUGGACAUUCCUUCACCCAAGUGGUGAGGCAAAAGUUAAAGUGCUUUAAAAAACUUCCAACACAUUCUGAAAUGAUUAGAUAGGACAUCUGCUCACACUCAAGUGAAGUUUAAGAGCAGACUUUUCAGCUCCAGUUAUUGAACAGGAAGUCAAGUAAGACACUUGUAUAUUUACUUUCUAUUGAUCCAUUUACUUUAGAUUGAUCCUAAAGGAUCAAUGGAUGUUCUGAUAAGCUUAUGAGCCUUAUUUCUCCACAAGAAAGAACACCUUAUUAAUCACUCUAGAAGACAGGAAAAUACAACCAUACUAUCACAUUUUUGCUUGCCAAAGUACACUGUCCCAUAGCAACUGUCUGAAAAUUACUAAAGAGUUUGGGCACCAAGGGAACAAAAACUGAACUAAGGAACAACAGACUAUUAAAUGAUACCCAUCCAUUUAAAUUUCAGCCUCUGUGGUGAAAUGAGAAGUCAACAGCAUAUUCCAAAAAGGUGU